This 466-nucleotide ribosomal RNA is filed under the name uncultured bacterium. Its description in RNAcentral is "partial 16S ribosomal RNA". It matches the Rfam family "Bacterial small subunit ribosomal RNA", at positions 28 to 507 of the family's 1533-position model. The record is from RNAcentral.
GACGAACGCUGGCGGCGCGCCUAACACAUGCAAGUCGAACGAGCGAGAGAGAGCUUGCUUUCUCAAGCGAGUGGCGAACGGGUGAGUAACGCGUGAGGAACCUGCCUCAAAGAGGGGGACAACAGUUGGAAACGACUGCUAAUACCGCAUAAGCCCACGACCCGGCAUCGGGUAGAGGGAAAAGGAGCAAUCCGCUUUGAGAUGGCCUCGCGUCCGAUUAGCUAGUUGGUGAGGUAACGGCCCACCAAGGCGACGAUCGGUAGCCGGACUGAGAGGUUGAACGGCCACAGUGGGACUGAGACACGGCCCAGACUCCUACGGGAGGCAGCAGUGGGGAAUAUUGCACAAUGGGGGAAACCCUGAUGCAGCGACGCCGCGUGGAGGAAGAAGGUCUUCGGAUUGUAAACUCCUGUUGUUGAGGAAGAUAAUGACGGUACUCAACAAGGAAGUGACGGCUAACUACGUG